CAGUCGCCGCGGGAAUACGAAGGGGGCUAGCGUUGUUCGGAAUUACUGGGCGUAAAGCGCACGUAGGCGGAUAUUUAAGUCAGGGGUGAAAUCCCAGAGCUCAACUCUGGAACUGCCUUUGAUACUGGGUAUCUUGAGUAUGGAAGAGGUGAGUGGAAUUCCGAGUGUAGAGGUGAAAUUCGUAGAUAUUCGGAGGAACACCAGUGGCGAAGGCGGCUCACUGGUCCAUUACUGACGCUGAGGUGCGAAAGCGUGGGGAGCAAACAGGAUUAGAGACCCCCGUAGUCCCUGUCUCUUAUAC
RNAcentral lists this ribosomal RNA (301 nucleotides) under uncultured bacterium. RNAcentral's name for it is "partial 16S ribosomal RNA". It matches the Rfam family "Bacterial small subunit ribosomal RNA", at positions 509 to 807 of the family's 1533-position model. The record is from RNAcentral.